This 415-nucleotide ribosomal RNA is filed under the name uncultured archaeon. Its description in RNAcentral is "bacterial SSU rRNA". It matches the Rfam family "Archaeal small subunit ribosomal RNA", at positions 1 to 423 of the family's 1478-position model. The record is from RNAcentral.
UUCCGGUUGAUCCCGCCGGACCUGACUGCUAUCGGAUUGGUACUAAGCCAUGCGAGUCAUUGUAGCAAUACAAGGCGGACGGCUCAGUAACACGUAGUCAACCUAACUCGUGGACGUGGAUAACCUCGGGACACUGAGAAUAAACCACGAUAGAUCAUAGUGCCUGGAAUGGCUUAUGGUCCAAACAGUUUACUGCCAUGGGAUGGGACUGCGGCCUAUCAGCUUGUUGGUGAGGUAAUGGCCCACCAAGGCGAUUACAGGUACGGGCUCUGAGAGGAGAAGCCCGGAGAUGGGUACUGAGACACGGACCCAGGCCCUAUGGGGCGCAGCAGGCGAGAAACCUUAGCAAUGUGCGAAAGCNCGACUGGGUCAGUCCGAGUGAUUCCUGAUNAAGGAGUCUUUUGCUUGUCCUAUA